AGCGGGGUGAUCUACCCAUGGCCAGUGUGAAGCAGCAGUAAGAUGCUGUGGAGGCGCGAACCCACGUAGGUUGAAAACUGCGGGGAUGAGCUGUGGGUAGGGGUGAAAGGCCAAUCAAACUCCGUGAUAGCUGGUUCUCCCCGAAAUGCAUUUAGGUGCAGCGUCGCAUUAGCUUGGUGGAGGUAGAGCUACUGGUUGGUUGAGCGGGACUACAAUCUUAGCAAUGUCAGCCAAACUCCGAAUGCCAUUAAUGUGUUGUGCGGCAGUGAGACUGUGGGGGAUAAGCUUCAUAGUCGAGAGGGAAACAGCCCAGAUCGCCGGUUAAGGCCCCUAAGGGUGUGCUAAGUGGAAAAGGAUGUGGGAUCGCGAAGACAGCCAGGAGGUUGGCUUAGAAGCAGCCAUCCUUGAAAGAGUGCGUAAUAGCUCACUGGUCGAGUGGUUCUGCGCCGACAAUGUAGUGGGGCUCAAGCACACCGCCGAAGCCGCGGCAAUAAUAUUUUGUUAUUGGGUAGGGGAGCGUCGUGCACGUGUUGAAGCGUUACCGUGAGGAGGCGUGGAGUGUGUGCGAGUGAGAAUGCAGGCAUGAGUAACGAAUUGGAAGGU
RNAcentral lists this ribosomal RNA (603 nucleotides) under Corynebacterium striatum. Its description in RNAcentral is "partial 23S ribosomal RNA". It matches the Rfam family "Bacterial large subunit ribosomal RNA", at positions 719 to 1322 of the family's 2925-position model. Lineage: Bacteria; Bacillati; Actinomycetota; Actinomycetes; Mycobacteriales; Corynebacteriaceae. The record is from RNAcentral.